This is a ribosomal RNA of 676 nucleotides. It matches the Rfam family "Eukaryotic small subunit ribosomal RNA", at positions 640 to 1318 of the family's 1831-position model.
UUCGGGGCGUGCGAGCCGGUCUGCCGAUGGGUAUGCACUGGCUUCCGCGCGUCCUUUCUUUCGGAGCUCUCCGCUGCUCUUAGCUGAGCGGUGGAGGGAGACGGAUCGUUUACUUUGAAAAAAUCAGAGUGUUUCAAGCAGGCAGCUCGCUCUUGCAUGGAUUAGCAUGGGAUAAUGAAAUAGGACUCUGGUGCUAUUUUGUUGGUUUCGAACACCGGAGUAAUGGUCAACAGGGACAGUCAGGGGCACUCGUAUUCCGCCGAGAGAGGUGAAAUUCUCAGACCAGCGGAAGACGAACCACUGCGAAAGCAUUUGCCAGGGAUGUUUUCACUGAUCAAGAACGAAAGUUAGGGGAUCGAAGACGAUCAGAUACCGUCGUAGUCUUAACCAUAAACCAUGCCGACUAGGGAUUGGGGGCUGUUCCUUUUGUGACUCCCUCAGCACCUUUCGGGAAACUAAAGUCUUUGGGUUCCGGGGGGAGUAUGGUCGCAAGGCUGAAACUUAAAGGAAUUGACGGAAGGGCACCACCAGGAGUGGAGCCUGCGGCUUAAUUUGACUCAACACGGGGAAACUUACCAGGUCCAGACAUUGUGAGGAUUGACAGAUUGAGAGCUCUUUCUUGAUUCGAUGGGUGGUGGUGCAUGGCCGUUCUUAGUUGGUGGAGUGAUUUGUCUGG